AUUGAACGCUGGCGGCAUGCUUUACACAUGCAAGUCGAACGGUAACAGGGAGCUUGCUCCGCUGACGAGUGGCGAACGGGUGAGUAAUGCGUCGGAACGUGCCGAGUAGUGGGGGAUAACGCAUCGAAAGGUGUGCUAAUACCGCAUACGUACUGAGGUAGAAAGUGGGGGACCUUCGGGCCUCACGCUAUUCGAGCGGCCGACGUCUGAUUAGCUAGUUGGUGAGGUAAAGGCUCACCAAGGCGACGAUCAGUAGCGGGUCUGAGGGGAUGAUCCGCCACACUGGGACUGAGACAGGGCCCAGACUCCUACGGGAGGCAGCAGUGGGGAAUUUUGGACAAUGGGCGCAAGCCUGAUCCAGCCAUGCCGCGUGUCUGAAGAAGGCCUUCGGGUUGUAAAGGACUUUUGUCCGGGAGCAAAUGCCUGGUGUUAAUAGCAUCGGGAGCUGAGAGUACCGGAAGAAUAAGCACCGGCUAACUACGUGCCAGCAGCCGCGGUAA
This 500-nucleotide ribosomal RNA is filed under the name uncultured bacterium. Its description in RNAcentral is "partial 16S ribosomal RNA". It matches the Rfam family "Bacterial small subunit ribosomal RNA", at positions 30 to 523 of the family's 1533-position model. The record is from RNAcentral.